CCGGUUCCGGUUCACGUCGCGUGAGAGCGUGACGACCCGGCGACC
RNAcentral lists this non-coding RNA (45 nucleotides) under unclassified sequences. RNAcentral describes it as "L31-Actinobacteria ribosomal protein leader". It matches the Rfam family "L31-Actinobacteria ribosomal protein leader". The record is from RNAcentral.